AUUCAGGAAAAGGAUAUUAGUCCAACUUUAAACCCCUUUGUAAUGCCAAAUACACUAAUAGGUUUAAAAUUUAUUCAAAUAAGGUACAGCCUAUUUGAAACAGGGUACAACCUAUAACAGAGGGUAAUGCCAAAACUAACGUGACCAAGUAGGCCUAAGAGCAGCCAUCUUUUAAAAAGCGUUAAAGCCUUAUCACACCCCAUAAUUAAUAUCAACCAAAACCCAAAACCCCUCAUCCAUACUGAAUUACUCCAUACUCAUAUGGAAAAUCCCAUGUUUGAACUAGUAAUAAGAAUAACUUCUCCAAAACGUAAAUGUAAGUCGGAAUGGACCACCCGCCGACACUUAUCGCCAAUGAACCCACAGUAACAACUUCCCCAAGAAAACUUUACUUUCCAUCAACGUUAACCUUACACAAGAACUUUACUGGAAAGAUUAAAAAAAGAGGAAGGAACUCGGCAAACACUAACCCCGCCUGUUUACCAAAAACAUCGCCUUCUGAGAAUCAAUUGAAGGUCCAGCCUGCCCAGUGAUAAACUUAAACGGCCGCGGUACUUUAACCGUGCAAAGGUAGCACAAUCACUUGUUCUUUAAAUAAGGACUAGUAUGAACGGCAUCACGAGGGUUAUACUGUCUCCCCCUUUUAAUCAGUGAAACUAAUCUCCCCGUGAAAAAGCGGGGAUAUUUAUAUAAGACGAGAAGACCCCAUGGAGCUUAAAACCAAGUGCCACUUGCACCUCUUACAUCACCUAAACUCAACAAGCCUGCCCACUGGUUUUUGGUUGGGGCGACCGCGGAGUAAAAUAAAACCUCCACGACGAAAGGAAAUAACCUCCUAAUCAAAGAGCUACUACUCAUAGAAUCAAAAUAUUGACCUAAAUUGAUCCAAUAUACUUGAACAACGAACCAAGUUACCCUGGGGAUAACAGCGCAAUCCAUUUCAAGAGCCCAUAUCAACAAAUGGGUUUACGACCUCGAUGUUGGAUCAGGGUAUCCCAGUGGUGCAGCCAUUACUAAAGGUUCGUUUGUUCAACGAUUAAAACCCU
Molecule: ribosomal RNA, 1046 nt
Filed under: Callulops robustus (robust frog)
Lineage: Eukaryota; Metazoa; Chordata; Amphibia; Anura; Microhylidae
Description: partial 16S ribosomal RNA
Rfam family: Bacterial large subunit ribosomal RNA
Source: RNAcentral